CUCCGUAGGUGGCCCUCUUUUUCCGGCUUUCUUGGGCGUCCCUCUAGCGCCGUCGGUUUCUUCCUUCUGAUGUGAAAGCCCCCGGCUCAACCGGGGAGGGUCAUUGGAAACUGGGAAACUUGAGUGCAGAAGAGGAGAGUGGAAUUCCAUGUGUAGCGGUGAAAUGCGUAGAUAUAUGGAGGAACACCAGUGGCGAAGGCGGCUCUCUGGUCUGUAACUGACGCUGAGGCUCGAAAGCGUGGGGAGCAAACAGGAUUAGAUACCCUGGUAGUCCACGCCGUAAACGAUGAGUGCUAAGUGUUGGAGGGUUUCCGCCCUUCAGUGCUGCAGCUAACGCAUUAAGCACUCCGCCUGGGGAGUACGACCGCAAGGUUGAA
RNAcentral lists this ribosomal RNA (377 nucleotides) under uncultured bacterium. RNAcentral describes it as "bacterial SSU rRNA". It matches the Rfam family "Bacterial small subunit ribosomal RNA", at positions 523 to 898 of the family's 1533-position model. The record is from RNAcentral.